GGAUAUAGUUAGCAAGUCAGAAAACAUUCGAAUGAAAAUGCCAUGAGAGACAAAUUAGUCUGCUGGUUUCUUAAAAAUUUAGCUGUGGAUCCCUUUCUCCAAAUGAAUUCUUAAGGGGCUAUGAGCUUAGUCACUCAGACACGUCCAACUCUUUGCGACCCCCAGGCUCCUCUGUGCAUAGGAUUUUCCAGCCCACAGUGGGCUACCAUUUCCUCCAAAGGAUCUUCCUAACCCUAGGAUUGAACCCGCAUCUGCUGUGUCUCCCAGAUUGCAGGCAGAUUCUUUACCAGGUGAGCCAUCAGGGAAACUCUUAAGGGAUGGCCUAGUAUUUAAACUGUUAAGGUUGGAGCUCGUUGGGUUGCUAUGGGCAUGGGGGCCUGAGACCAGGCAGUGGCACGACAAGGGGAGACGGGAAGCCCCCAGCUGCAGAGAUGAGUGGGGCUUUCGUUGUGGUCUUCAGCACAAGCACCUGUGUUUCGCUGCUCAUCUGUCAGGGAAGGUAAAAGAAACUCAAGGAGGAGGAGAACUGAUUCAAUGGACCAGGGAAUGCAAUUGGGAGGGGGCUGGGCAUGGAAACAGCUUUAUGGAAAGGCUGGCUUUGUGCCAUUACCAAGAGGACAGAGCAACCUUGAGGCCCUUGGACAUGAAACCCCACCCCUGUUGCUCUGUGCCCGGGCUUGCACAUCAGACCUCCCUGGGACACGGUGGCCCUCCAGGUCUGCAACUCCACCAUCUUUCACGAGUCAGCUACAGUGAGAUGAAGAAUGGCCCUCUCAGGUCCUCACUUGUCCUGCCUCUCAUGGGCUUCCCAUUUGGACCCAAGAACAUUGCAAUCAGCUCACCUUGACAGAGGUCUGUUCUGAAUGGUUCUCCUUCCUCCACAAAAUUCCUUGCAGAUUUCUGAAGACAGUCCACUGAAGACUUCACAGUCUGGGAGCCCAGGCCUUGUGGACCAAGACAACUGAACCAGUGCAACCUCCUCCAUGGCUGUCCCUGCUCCGGAGGAUGACUGGCCAGGAGGGCCGUAUGGCCUGACCUCACCGCUAACUGGUAAGGAACAGCAGCCCUUUAUUCUCCAGGGACUAGAGCGUCAUGGAGGCUCUAUCACAAUGCUUUUCAAACUGUAGCUUGAGAAUGAUGAAGUCUUCAAA
Molecule: long non-coding RNA, 1151 nt
Organism: Bos taurus (domestic cattle)
Lineage: Eukaryota; Metazoa; Chordata; Mammalia; Artiodactyla; Bovidae
Source: Ensembl